AUCUGACUGGCUCAGUUGUUAGAGCAUGUGACUCUUGGUCUUGAGGUGGUGAGUUCAAACCUCAUGUUGGAUA
Molecule: transfer RNA, 73 nt
Filed under: Canis lupus familiaris (dog)
Lineage: Eukaryota; Metazoa; Chordata; Mammalia; Carnivora; Canidae
Also listed under: 1 other name
Rfam family: tRNA
About the family: Transfer RNA (tRNA) molecules are approximately 80 nucleotides in length. Their secondary structure includes four short double-helical elements and three loops (D, anti-codon, and T loops).
Source: Rfam by way of RNAcentral